UGCUUACAGAUGUUCUGGAAAUCCUCGUAGGGGAGUACCAACUAAAAGAUUUCAUAGACAAAUGACAAAUUCUAGAGGAGUUAUGUGCGAUUGUAUCAGGCCAGGACUGUCACAGCAGCAAUUGAAAACUGUGAGGGCCUGCGACGUUUCCCUUCUGAUGCACACCACAACUAGGACGAAAGACAUUUUAGACCUGUUGCAAUAUGCAUUUGGCCUCCUGCAACGCACCUGUUCGGUCAAGUUUCCAGCCGCAGCCUGGAGAUCUCUCUCUCAUCCUGGCUGGAAACAAGGCAAAUCAGCAGACAUGGGAAGCCUCAUGUCCGCGUCAAUUAUACGUCCUCGUUGUACAUUCCUUGGGUUAGUGAGGGUUGUUGCUUACUUUAUUUGAACGAGUUAGCAAGGAUUGUUCUGUUUGAGCAGCAAACAGCCUAUGUACAUGAUUGCCUCGAUUAUUUGGACACCAAUCAUGUGGAGAAAGAGCACGUACAGUACAGUUUAGACGUGCCAACGUUGUAACCUGGUGAGAGCUGGUAGUGCUAUCGUUGCAACUUGUUGCAUGGGUGAAGCUGGUGUUAGUGUAGUGUUGUUAAGCUUACUUGAUCGAGCUCCAUCGGUUGAGCUGGUGUCUAUAUAUAUUAGUUGCAUUGCAGG
Molecule: long non-coding RNA, 651 nt
Organism: Panicum virgatum (switchgrass)
Lineage: Eukaryota; Viridiplantae; Streptophyta; Magnoliopsida; Poales; Poaceae
Exons: 3
Source: RefSeq, a predicted model, not a curated record